RNAcentral lists this ribosomal RNA (460 nucleotides) under uncultured bacterium. Its description in RNAcentral is "partial 16S ribosomal RNA". It matches the Rfam family "Bacterial small subunit ribosomal RNA", at positions 338 to 795 of the family's 1533-position model. The record is from RNAcentral.
CCUACGGGGUGCAGCAGUGAGGAAUAUUGGUCAAUGGACGAGAGUCUGAACCAGCCAAGUAGCGUGAAGGAUGACUGCCCUAUGGGUUGUAAACUUCUUUUAUAUGGGAAUAAAACGUUCCACGUGUGGGAUUUUGUAUGUACCAUAUGAAUAAGGAUCGGCUAACUCCGUGCCAGCAGCCGCGGUAAUACGGAGGAUCCGAGCGUUAUCCGGAUUUAUUGGGUUUAAAGGGAGCGUAGGUGGAUUGUUAAGUCAGUCGUGAAAGUUUGCGGCUCAACCGUAAAAUUGCAGUUGAAACUGGCAGUCUUGAGUACAGUAGAGGUGGGCGGAAUUCGUGGUGUAGCGGUGAAAUGCUUAGAUAUCACGAAGAACUCCGAUUGCGAAGGCAGUUCACUGGACUGCAACUGACACUGAGGCUCGAAAGUGUGGGUAUCAAACAGGAUUAGAUACCCCUGUAGUC